GACGAACGCUGGCGGCGUGCUUAACACAUGCAAGUCGAACGGAAAGGCCCUGCUUUUGUGGGGUGCUCGAGUGGCGAACGGGUGAGUAACACGUGAGUAACCUGCCCUUGACUUUGGGAUAACUUCAGGAAACUGGGGCUAAUACCGGAUAGGAGCUCCUGCUGCAUGGUGGGGGUUGGAAAGUUUCGGCGGUUGGGGAUGGACUCGCGGCUUAUCAGCUUGUUGGUGGGGUAGUGGCUUACCAAGGCUUUGACGGGUAGCCGGCCUGAGAGGGUGAACGGCGACAUUGGGACUGAGAUACGGCCCAGAAUCCUACGGGAGGCAGCAGUGGGGAAUAUUGCACAAUGGGCGGAAGCCUGAUGCAGCAACGCCGCGUGCGGGAUGACGGCCUUCGGGUUGUAAACCGCUUUCGCCUGUGACGAAGCGUGAGUGACGGUAAUGGGUAAAGAAGCACCGGCUAACUACGUG
Molecule: ribosomal RNA, 468 nt
Filed under: uncultured bacterium
Lineage: Bacteria
Description: partial 16S ribosomal RNA
Rfam family: Bacterial small subunit ribosomal RNA
Source: RNAcentral